Anthonomus grandis grandis is the source of this 1292-nucleotide long non-coding RNA. RefSeq lists it as uncharacterized. Lineage: Eukaryota; Metazoa; Arthropoda; Insecta; Coleoptera; Curculionidae. The transcript is spliced from 5 exons. The record is from RefSeq and is a predicted model, not a curated record.
UUUUCAAUGAUAACGUUGAUAAUAAUUCUAAACAAUAAUCGCGUCAAUCAGUCUAAUUCACGUGGAGUGGAUGUACAUACAUAAUACUGCGUUUCACUUAAAUUAUUAUGUCGUAAAGGCACAAAUGUUUGGUUAAUUUUUAUGUGGUGUUAUUAAGGAAAAACGAAUGCUUUAUAAUAAAUGAAAUGCACGUCGUCGCUCUCGAUAACCCCGAGGAGUAUAGUGUAAAAAAAGUCUAGGCUGACCCAUUAAGUAAUAAUUAAAUAUUGAUGUGUAAUUCGUUUAUGAUCGCUAUAUAUUCAUAUGUCCGGUUUUCAAUAUAAUUAUUAAAAUUUUAUCUCAUGAUUAGUGUAUAAAUAAUAGACAGUAGAUUAAUGUUUGUAAAACUGGAUUUUAAUGAUAUUUUUUAUUGCAACAGAUAUGAAACUGCUAAUUAUAUUCCUAUUUGUCACUAGUUUCAGUUGCUUUUUUUUGCAUGUGAGAGUUAUGGUCUUGGAAUUUUAUAAGCUUAUCAAUCGUCACACCCAAAUAUUUGAUGGCUACAGAUGGACUGAUUGAAUUAGUAUGCAAGGAUCAAUAUCAUGCCAAAGUACAGUGCUUGGUAGGCAAAAGUGUAAACUUUCCAGAAACCGCGAAACAAAAUGGGCCCAAGAACAGAGCCCUGAAGAAUACCGGCGUCAACGAGUAGCAUACUAGACUUAGUGCUAUGUGUUCUACUGGAAAGGCUUUUGAGAAAUUUUCCUGAAGCAACAGAAAACCGUCAAGAAAUAAAACGUAUGAUUCCAAGGGUCACGGAUGCUCCCCUAUCAAUGAAUCAAUUUAUCUGCAUCUGAAGGACCUAUAAUUUUCUGGCCUUUGAAGACGUUGUAAAUUAUUUCCGGUCAUUUGAAGCCGUCUCUACGAAAAAGUUACAAAAAUGAUGAUUUUUUCCUACCAAGCGUUUGAAAUCUGGAAGAAAUAAAAUUUAAAGUUGUAUCUUAAACUAGUCCACACUUUUGGAUUUUAAUUUUAUUCCUUGAAUUAUUGUGGGAUGAACUGGAUAGACAAGUGCGAAAAUCAUGCCCUACAUCAAAAGAAGACUUGUGGAGGAGCAUCCAAGGAGAGUGGCACAAGUUACCUCAGGAAACUUUGGACAAAUGAAUUAGAAGACUACCGAAACUCUGUGAAGCUGUUAUUAAAAAUCGAGGCGGACAUGUAGAUGAAUCCAAAAUUUGAUUUUCUUAAAUUUAAUUAAUUGAAAAAUGUAUUGUUUAUAUUCAUUUUGUUAUAAAUAAACCCUUUCAUAAGAAUAA